CCUGAAAAUGGUUUGUCUCUUUUUGAAACUCUCCUUGUGGGGGUCAGUUGUGUCCCUUUACAGAAAACUAGCAUCCUCUGGAUCUGCAAACCAAGAUUUCUGUAUUUCUCAUCUAUUUGGCUUGAGUGCCGCAGGAUCUUGAAGGGAGCAGCUGCAUCGCAAGAUGCCCUGAAGGAAUUCUGGAAGUCCCCGACCCUUCGGGAGUUCGGUAUAGUUGGUAUGAAGAGAAUGGGAAAAGGAUUGAAGAUUUCUGCAAGAAUUGGGUGAAAACCAUCAAUUCCCCCCCCCCACUUUGAAAAGGUGUGUAUGGAUGCUUUUUUCCUAGUUAAUAGGAGACACAAGACUGUAUCUAAAGAAGAGGCUGUUGAAGGUCAUUUUCAUCGCCUUCUCAGGCUCACAAUCUAAGAAGGCACACUGGGGGAGAGGGAGAGAAGAGAGGCGUGAUGGGUACCAGCAUUUAAGCGGUCAAAGGGUUUUAUAAAUGCUUGAAUGAUGACUGUUCCUCUCACUGCUGCAAGCCUCCAACAGUGGGAUUUUAUGUCAUCAAAUACUAACAUGACUUUUCUUCACUCAAAAGUGUCUUUAGAUGGGUUGGCCAUCUGUGACACGGUUGAACUUUUGCGGGGUCGCACAUUCUAAAGAGCAACAAAUGUGACUUUGGAAGCUUUGAAGAUCCUGGCUGUUCUCAUUUUUUGUGGUCUCCUAUUGCAUUGUAGUCUCCUGUGAUACAGAUUUUUCUUUGUUCUAAUUCAAUAAUUUUCU
Notechis scutatus (mainland tiger snake) is the source of this 762-nucleotide non-coding RNA. The record is from RefSeq and is a predicted model, not a curated record. NCBI's taxonomy places the organism in Eukaryota, Metazoa, Chordata, Lepidosauria, Squamata, Elapidae.